RNAcentral lists this unclassified non-coding RNA (298 nucleotides) under Trechisporales sp. RNAcentral describes it as "partial contains 5.8S ribosomal RNA, internal transcribed spacer 2, and large subunit ribosomal RNA". Lineage: Eukaryota; Fungi; Basidiomycota; Agaricomycetes; Trechisporales. The record is from RNAcentral.
CGCACCUUGCGCCCCUUGGUAUUCCGGGGGGCAUGCCUGUUUGAGUGUCUUGAAAUCAUCAAACCGACCCGGUCUUUGUUGCCGGCGCGGUUUGGACUUGGGGGCUCUGCUGCCGCGAGGCGGCUCCCCUUAAAUGCAUCGGUCGGGCCUACUGGGGCUCCGUCACCUGGGCGUUGUAUUACCCUCGUCGCUGGAUGGCUCGCGAUAUUGCGCCCUUCUUCGACCUGCCUCUGGAGUGGCGGUCUUCAACUUUUUGUGAUCUGACCUCAAAUCAGGUAGGACUACCCGCUGAACUUAA